This 252-nucleotide long non-coding RNA is filed under the name Trifolium pratense (red clover). Its description in RNAcentral is "long non-coding RNA (TPRA_LNC009439)". Lineage: Eukaryota; Viridiplantae; Streptophyta; Magnoliopsida; Fabales; Fabaceae. The record is from RNAcentral.
GAAAAGAAAUAAUAAUGCCUCUCCAAUCACUUGAGACUUCUAUAUUAAAAUUAAGAAUCACAUGAAUGAUAAGAUGAAUCUUCAUCUUCACUGCUCCAUCUACAAUCUUCACAUUUGUAAUCUAAACAACAUUCCCACCAAUAACCAUUAUCUAAUAAAUCAUCUGGAAGUAGUAAAUCUUUGAUCUGAUCAUGACACCUUUUCUCCAAAUUUUCACUAAACUUAAGAUUGAAACAUCCUCUAAGGUCAAGA